GUCACUUUCGCUUCUUCCCUGCUGAAAGAGGUUUACAACCCGAAGGCCGUCAUCCCUCACGCGGCGUCGCUGCAUCAGGCUUUCGCCCAUUGUGCAAUAUUCCCCACUGCUGCCUCCCGUAGGAGUCUGGGCCGUGUCUCAGUCCCAGUGUGGCCGGUCGCCCUCUCAGGCCGGCUACCCGUCGUCGCCUUGGUGAGCCACUACCUCACCAACAAGCUGAUAGGCCGCGGGCUCAUCCUGCACCGCCGGAGCUUUACACCAUCCACCAUGCGGCAGACGGUCAUAUCCGGUAUUAGACCCCGUUUCCAGGGCUUGUCCCAGAGUGCAGGGCAGAUUGCCCACGUGUUACUCACCCGUUCGCCACUAAUCCCCGCCCGAAAGCGGUUCAUCGUUCGACUUGCAUGUGUUAAGCACGCCGCCAGCGUUCGUCCUGAGCCAGGAUCAAACU
This 448-nucleotide ribosomal RNA is filed under the name Streptomyces sp. 1LA1. Its description in RNAcentral is "partial 16S ribosomal RNA". The record is from RNAcentral. Lineage: Bacteria; Bacillati; Actinomycetota; Actinomycetes; Kitasatosporales; Streptomycetaceae.